UGGCCCGUCGGCAAGCGGUAAGCCACCAGACUUUGACUCUGGCAUUCGUAGGUUCGAAUCCUGCCGGGCCAACCA
This 75-nucleotide transfer RNA is filed under the name Ruminococcaceae bacterium OttesenSCG-928-I18. RNAcentral describes it as "tRNA-Gln". It matches the Rfam family "tRNA". From Rfam's summary of the family: Transfer RNA (tRNA) molecules are approximately 80 nucleotides in length. Their secondary structure includes four short double-helical elements and three loops (D, anti-codon, and T loops). Lineage: Bacteria; Bacillati; Bacillota; Clostridia; Eubacteriales; Oscillospiraceae. The record is from RNAcentral.